This 424-nucleotide ribosomal RNA is filed under the name uncultured bacterium. RNAcentral describes it as "partial 16S ribosomal RNA". It matches the Rfam family "Bacterial small subunit ribosomal RNA", at positions 360 to 776 of the family's 1533-position model. The record is from RNAcentral.
AAUUUUGGACAAUGGGGGAAACCCUGAUCCAGCAAUGCCGCGUGCAGGAUGAAGGCCUUCGGGUUGUAAACUGCUUCUGUACGGAACAUAAAGUCUUGGGUUAAUACCCUCGGAUCCUCCCGGUACCGUAAGAAUAAGCACCGGCUCACUACGUGCCAGCAGCCGCGGUAAUAUGUAGGGUGCAAGCGUUAAUCGGAAUUACUGGGCGUAAAGCGUGCGCAGGCGGUUUUGUAAGACAGUGGUGAAAUCCCCGGGCUCAACCUGGGAACUGCCAUUGUGACUGCAAGGCUGGAGUGCGGCAGAGGGGGAUGGAAUUCCGCGUGUAGCAGUGAAAUGCGUAGAUAUGCGGAGGAACACCGAUGGCGAAGGCAAUCCCCUGGGCCUGCACUGACGCUCAUGCACGAAAGCGUGGGGAGCAAACAGG